AUGAAGGUUGGAUCAAUGCCAAGGCUCUCGCACCUGACACUUUGGAGAUGCGGGCUGAUAAAUAAGCUUCCUGAGGGGUUGCUGCAUCUUCGGUCCAUCCUCGGUGAUCGAGAAUUGUUCAGUAUGCCUCAGAUUACCGAAGAUGACAACACACUGUAUGAGCUGCAAAUUAGGGUUGCAAGGUCUUUUGUGCGCACAUUUUGCACAGGUGAAAUGAUCAAACGAUCACCAUGCAUGAUACUACAAGAUCUUCGAUUACGGAGGCAUAUUCAUUUCCUAAUUCCAAAGGCAUUCAUUAAUUCGUGCUAUGCACGCUGUGACCAAGUGCACCAAGAAGAAUAUUUAUGUCUGUUUAUCAGUCCAUGCUAUAGGUCUGCCUCAAAUAUGUCUAUUUGUUUGCUUGAAUGUAAUCCUUAA
Molecule: ribosomal RNA, 417 nt
Filed under: Triticum aestivum (bread wheat)
Lineage: Eukaryota; Viridiplantae; Streptophyta; Magnoliopsida; Poales; Poaceae
Description: partial small subunit ribosomal RNA
Source: RNAcentral